UACGAAGGGGGCUAGCGUUGUUCGGAAUCACUGGGCGUAAAGGGUGCGUAGGCGGAUCAAUCAGUCAGGGGUGAAAUCCCGAGGCUCAACCUCGGAACUGCCUUUGAUACUGUUGAUCUUGAGUCCGGAAGAGGUGAGUGGAACUGCGAGUGUAGAGGUGAAAUUCGUAGAUAUUCGCAAGAACACCGGUGGCGAAGGCGGCUCUCUGGCCUGUAACUGACGCUGAGGCGCGAAAGCGUGGGGAGCAAACAGG
This 253-nucleotide ribosomal RNA is filed under the name uncultured bacterium. RNAcentral describes it as "partial 16S ribosomal RNA". It matches the Rfam family "Bacterial small subunit ribosomal RNA", at positions 524 to 776 of the family's 1533-position model. The record is from RNAcentral.